CAGGGACACACGCACGCACGCACACACACACACACACACACACACAGCCACUUGUGGCAGGUCAGGUGGUCAUGCGGCCCAGCAGGGCAGAGACUGGGCCAGUGCUCAGGUUUCCAUGUGUCUGAAGGACAAGUGACCGGGCCUGCUUUUCUUCACCCAGAAGAAUGCCUUCUCCAAACACUAGUUUUGUGCUUCCUGGCCGUGUCAGGGCCUUGCAGGAGGGGAAGAGCAGAGGGCGUGGAGGAGGGGGAGGAGCAUGCGCCCGGCCCUCAGCCCUCAGCCCUCGGCCCUUGGCCCUGUCUGGUGUUUUCCUUCCGCCCUCCCCACCCAGAAGGCAGAUGCCUGCUGGGAAACUGUGGCCGCCCAGCCACUGGCUGUGGGGAGAAUCCCAAAGCCCAGUGUUUGGACUUGGGGUAGGAAGGGAGCCGGGGCUCAGAGGGGAGUCUCUGAGUGAGUCAGUGACAGGCCUGUCGGGCCUGGUACCCAGAGCAGCGGUUUCCAGCUGGAGUCCACGGCCCAGCCCUGGGGGCAUCCAGGGUGGGAGAAAGGGUAUGAGAAGGGUGUGUCUAGACCAACUUGGAAGGAGCAGCUCUGCCUUUGGUUUGUUGUUUGGGAAAGGUCUGGGGAUCAGCGUCUCGAGGGUCUUCCAGCUUUGGGGCUCUGUGCCUCAGAUGCGUCCUCAGAACAGCAGGCCUGUCCAACUUCACAGACCUGAGAACGGCCCCCGAAGGAGAGAGAGGCCACAUCUCCUGAUAGGCAGGGCUGAGAGCCAUCCGGAGGGGACGGCCACCAGCUCUGUCGGGGUCUGUGGCCGGUUCCCACCCCUCCCUGGCCUCAAGCCUGACAUCCGCCACCCCAGCAGCACAGAAACCCACUGCCGAGGCACCUUAGGAAAGCCACAAAGAAAUGAGGGUCGUGGCCAAGAGGUGUCAAAUGAAAGCCAGUUCCAGUCAGGCUGCCUUGCUAAGCCUUCUUCAUAGGUUAUCUCCCUGAAUCCGCACAACCCUACGAGGUAGGUAAUGUCGUCACCCCAUUUUACGGACGAAGGAUCAGCAACCCAAAGAUCACACCAUUAAUAAAUACAGAUCGGGAUGUGUACCCAGAGAGUCCACCUCUAGAAUCC
Molecule: long non-coding RNA, 1123 nt
Filed under: Camelus dromedarius (Arabian camel)
Lineage: Eukaryota; Metazoa; Chordata; Mammalia; Artiodactyla; Camelidae
Description: lncRNA (ENSCDRG00005006710.1)
Source: RNAcentral